GCGUAAGCGCGCGUAGGCCGUUGAGUUAGUUAAUUGUGAAAUCCCAAAGCUUAACUUUGGAACUGCAAUUAAAACUGCUCGACUAGAGUUUGAUAGAGGAAAGCGGAAUACAUAGUGUAGAGGUGAAAUUCGUAGAUAUUAUGUAGAACACCAGUUGCGAAGGCGGCUUUCUGGAUCAACACUGACGCUGAGGCGCGAAAGUAUGGGUAGCAAAGAGGAUUAGAUACCCUCGUAGUCCAUACCAUAAACGAUGAUUGCUAGAUGUUGGAAAUUUAUUUUCAGUAUCGCAGCUAACGCAUUAAGCAAUCCGCCUGGGGAGUACGACCGCAAGGUUAAAACUCAAAUGAAUUGACGGGGACCCGCACAAGCGGUGGAGCAUGUGGUUUAAUUCGAAGAUACGCGCAGAACCUUACCAACCCUUGACAUGUCUGUCGCGAGUUUAGGAAACUAGACUUUUCGGUUCGGCCGGACAGAACACAGGUGCUGCAUGGCUGUCGUCAGCUCGUGUCGUGAGAUGUUGGGUUAAGUCCCGCAACGAGCGCAACCCCUACUUUUAGUUGCCAUCAGGUCAUGCUGGGCACUCUGAAAGAACUGCCAGUGAUAAGCUGGAGGAAGGUG
RNAcentral lists this ribosomal RNA (618 nucleotides) under uncultured Pelagibacterales bacterium. Its description in RNAcentral is "bacterial SSU rRNA". It matches the Rfam family "Bacterial small subunit ribosomal RNA", at positions 558 to 1175 of the family's 1533-position model. Lineage: Bacteria; Pseudomonadati; Pseudomonadota; Alphaproteobacteria; Candidatus Pelagibacterales. The record is from RNAcentral.